UACGGAGGGGGCUAGCGUUGUUCGGAAUUACUGGGCGUAAAGCGCGCGUAGGCGGACCUGCAAGUCGGGGGUGAAAGCCCGAGGCUCAACCUCGGAACUGCCUUCGAUACUGCGGGUCUCGAGUCCGGGAGAGGUGAGUGGAAUUCCGAGUGUAGAGGUGAAAUUCGUAGAUAUUCGGAAGAACACCAGUGGCGAAGGCGGCUCACUGGACUGGUAUUGACGCUGAGGUGCGAAAGCGUGGGGAGCAAACAGG
This 253-nucleotide ribosomal RNA is filed under the name uncultured bacterium. Its description in RNAcentral is "partial 16S ribosomal RNA". It matches the Rfam family "Bacterial small subunit ribosomal RNA", at positions 524 to 776 of the family's 1533-position model. The record is from RNAcentral.